UCCACUUCCUCUUCCCUGUCUUCUUCUUCUUGGGGAUUAACAAUUAGGGUUUAGUAAUUUCAGAAAUUUGUAAAACUCUAUUGGGGGAUUUGAAAUUUCAAAUCCCUAAUUGGGGAUUCUUGAAAUUUCAAUCCUUAAUUGGGAUUUCUGAAAUUGGUUCUAAUUGUGGAUUUUUGAAAUUUCAAAUCCCUAAUUGGGAAUUUUCUGAAAUUGUUAAUCCCUAAUUGGGUUGUGGAUUUAGUAUGAAAUUGUUUAAUCUGGAAUUUCACAACACCUAAUUGCUGCCUAGUUAGAAUAUUUGGUCCCUAAUUGGAUAUGUUGAAAAAUUAGGUAUUUUGCUAUAAAAAAUCUCUAAUUGGGUGAUUUUGUUAAUUAGGAUCCCUAAUUGGGUAAUUUUCCAUUGUUCUUCCCUAAUUGGAAGUGGCAGUGAUUGCGGGGCUCAUUUUUGCUGUGCCAGACUGUCCUACACAACUGGCAUGGUAGCAAGAAAGAGGAUACGGCAAUAUGACACUUGCCGUGCCAUUGCAAGUAGUUGAUCACUUCUACGAUAAUACUCAUGUUUUGACAAUGAACACUAGCAUUGAUUAAUCAUAAACAAUGAACAUGUCCCUUAACUUCAACGAUGCCUGGCCAACAAAGACUACUACAAAUUGCACUGAAAGUCCAAAUUUCCACUUAACUCAAUGUUCAAUCCUGAUGAAAAACAGUAAUAAACAUAUCGCACAGAACUGAUGUCUGAAGAAAUCCACUGACGGCAAAGCUGAAUGGUGAAGUCCAAACCACACAGGUUGGAUGUGAGGCACAUACCACGCGGGCCCCGCAACUUUCGAUUUUCCACUUUGUUGUAAUGAAAAAGGCAAAGGAGAGCAGUAAUGUAAUUUCUCCUCUUGAAAAGCACUGCCCUAGAAUAUCGGUUACUGGAGGCACUAUUUGGUAAAAUCCAAUUCCUUGAGGAAUUUUGCAUUGCCGGAAAAAUCCCUUAUUAUUGAAUAAUAUCGCCUAGUCAUUUUUCUAGUUGUUUGAGAAAUGGUGUGAAGCAAUGGUUGGGGAGCUUUUGAAGGCAAUCGUAAUAGACUAGGAUCUGAAAAUGAUGAGAGCUUUAUGUUUCUAAAUGCUUUCUAUUUGUAUUGUAUUUGGCAUAUUUUGCUGCAGGUUCCUGCAAGGUAGGUCCUGUUGCUUUCAAAGAUGAAUUUAAUGAAUUUCAUGAUCAUAUAGAAUUCUGGGAAGCCUGAGGAGUUCGAAGUAAAAUGGAAGAAAGUUAUUGAAGAAAAUGGUUUGGAACAUAUCGACUGGCUUGCCUCUUUAUUCAACAUUUGUCACAAAUGGGUAGCAGCAUAUUGAAGCCUUUUUUUUUUUUUUCCUGCAAGUAUGUUUAGUAGCCAACGAAGUCAAAGCAUGAAUGCUUUCUUUCAUUAAUACAUGUUGAAGAAUAACUUAUUGAUGGAUUUCAUAGUUAAUUUUGAUCGUGUAGUAGUACGAUAGAGAUGCGACGAGUUAGUUGUCUAUCAUGAAACAAUUAAUAGCAAGAUGAAGUUGCAAACUUUAUUUGCCAUGGAGAGCUUGGAAAGACAUAUAUUAGGUUUAUUUUUUAUAAAUUCCAAAGAGAGUUGCAUAAAAGCACCGUUAUACUGCAGUUCCUGAAGAAAAGAUGAAAGCCUUUUGCAUGAAGAAUCGUUAGAUGAUAAGGUUGAUGUGCAUAAAGAACCAUCAGAUAAUGAGGUUUAUAUCUGUGAAGAAAUAUUAGAUGAUGAGGAGGGGACGUCAGGUUGUGAUACACUACAAUCUUAGUAUUGAUGGGUCCUUCACAUGGACCAAUAGGAUAAGUUUCUUGAUUUUUGUAUUAAUUAUGUAACCAACAGUUUUAUUUAUUAUUUAUUAUUUAUUAUUUAAUUUUGGAUUUAGGCAUUGACUUAGUAGUUGGUAAUCAUGGCCACAUAAAACCAUGCAUAUGAACCAUGAGAGAGUAGUUGUUGAUUAUUUUGAAUGAAAGAAUAAUAUUCAAUCUUGAUUUCUGGUCUAAGUUCAAAUUCUAGUGGUCCGAUGCCCUAGGAAUCCCUUGGUGCAAUGCCUUGUUUGUUUGCAUGGAGCAUCCUUCUAUGUGUCAUCUAUUUGCUGUUUAUUUCAAUUAUUACUGAUUUUUAGAGUGAAUUGAAGUCAUUCAUGGAAUCUAAUUGAUUAGUACAUAUUUCAGUUUGGUUAUAUUUGUUCAGAUUCUUCAAGUCGAUUCAUCAGGCUGAUAUCAAUUCAAUUAGAGGUCAAAGGUUUACACAUGGAAAGAUGAUAGGAAUGGGCUUCAUCGGGACCUUGACAUAAGGGAGGAGUGUCACCGCGAGCAUGCGCGUGGGUGAGAGGAAGAACGCGAAAGAAAAAAGAGAAGAAAAAAAGGAGAGUAUAUGUUUGCAAGGUAAAACCGCGAAUCUUCAGUGAUGUUGAAAAUUAGUCUGCUGUGAGUCUUUCUGAGGGCUGCUUCUUAGGUUCCUGUUUUGUUUCCUGAUUUCCUCUCAGCCUUGAAGUUUUAUUAUAAAAUUGUGAAGCAAUUGCCCUUUGCCUCUUUUCUAGAUAUUGUUCCAGAAUCCCUUGGAUGCACACUUAUCUCUAAAUACACCAAGAUAUUUAUGGGA
This is a long non-coding RNA of Magnolia sinica, 2621 nucleotides long. RefSeq lists it as uncharacterized. The transcript is spliced from 2 exons. Lineage: Eukaryota; Viridiplantae; Streptophyta; Magnoliopsida; Magnoliales; Magnoliaceae. The record is from RefSeq and is a predicted model, not a curated record.